Mauremys reevesii (Reeves's turtle) is the source of this 774-nucleotide long non-coding RNA. RefSeq lists it as uncharacterized. Lineage: Eukaryota; Metazoa; Chordata; Testudines; Geoemydidae. The record is from RefSeq and is a predicted model, not a curated record. The transcript has 5 exons.
AAGCUUUCUGAGCUGAGCAAAACUGCUGGUCAUUCUCUGGGCAUGGAGAAAUGAAGGGCUUUGUGCUACACUGGAGUAACCCCCAAAGUGGAAGGGGAAUGCCCAAGAUAAUGAACAGAAGCUUGACCAGGCUCUGAACGCAUUUCACACUCACCUACCUGAAACAAUCCGUCUCCUCCAUGUCUCCGAAGAUUGUUACAAGCUCUGUUGGUUGCUUCUGGUGACUUUGCUGCUGUGAUUCUGCUGUAUUUCUUCAGAUCCUAUGUCUCCAAGCUACGCUGUACAGAGGAGUGCUGCCAUUUGCUUCAACGGAAGGGGCCUCCCUCAUGUUUUUAAUUACAUCCAAGGAAGAUUUUCCCCCCGAGAGAUCUUCAAAUAUUCUUCAGUCUUUCUGUGUAACAGACGGCUACAUCUGGCUUCAGCUAGCAGGCAGCACUGUCAUCUUUCAGCUAGUGGGAGUGUUUGUGGAGCUAAAUGAAACCCCACAGUUAGCACCCACCAUUUUUGUAUUGAAGUACUCAGUGGAGUUUUGCCUGGUUAUGCCACAACUGGAUUUGGCCUGAUGUGUCCUAAUGAAAUCUGAAGCACAGAUGGGCAAACCAGUUCAGAUAAAAUAAGAACUGACUUGAGCCUUUGACCCAAAUUAGGACAGAAUUGCAAUCAAACUUCUAUUUGAGCUCUGAAAAUGUUUUGUUGUUGGGUUUUUAACUUUAAUAUUUGUGCAUCUCUGCAUUGCCUGGUAUUGGUAGAAAUGUACAGGAUGAAAUACUUAUG